UACGGAGGGGGCUAGCGUUGUUCGGAAUUACUGGGCGUAAAGCGCGCGUAGGCGGCUUUGUAAGUUAGAGGUGAAAGCCCGGGGCUCAACUCCGGAAUUGCCUUUAAGACUGCAUCGCUAGAAUUGUGGAGAGGUAAGUGGAAUUCCGAGUGUAGAGGUGAAAUUCGUAGAUAUUCGCAAGAACACCAGUGGCGAAGGCGGCUCACUGGCCCGGUACUGACGCUGAGGUGCGAAAGCGUGGGGAGCAAACAGG
Molecule: ribosomal RNA, 253 nt
Filed under: uncultured bacterium
Lineage: Bacteria
Description: partial 16S ribosomal RNA
Rfam family: Bacterial small subunit ribosomal RNA
Source: RNAcentral